RNAcentral lists this ribosomal RNA (152 nucleotides) under Hyphomonadaceae bacterium. RNAcentral's name for it is "partial 16S ribosomal RNA". It matches the Rfam family "Bacterial small subunit ribosomal RNA", at positions 1 to 173 of the family's 1533-position model. Lineage: Bacteria; Pseudomonadati; Pseudomonadota; Alphaproteobacteria; Hyphomonadales; Hyphomonadaceae. The record is from RNAcentral.
UCAACUUGAGAGUUUGAUUCUGGCUCAGAACGAACGCUGGCGGCAGGCUUAACACAUGCAAGUCGAACGAUAUAGUGGCAGACGGGUGAGUAACGCGUGGGAACGUACCUUUCACUACGGAAUAGCUCUUGGAAACGAGUGGUAAUACCGUA